GUGCCAGCCGCCGCGGUAAUACGUAGGGUGCGGGCGUUAAUCGGAAUUACUGGGCGUAAAGCGUGCGCAGGCGGCUUUGCAAGACAGAGGUGAAAUCCCCGGGCUCAACCUGGGAACUGCCUUUGUGACUGCAAGGCUAGAGUACGGCAGAGGGGGAUGGAAUUCCGCGUGUAGCAGUGAAAUGCGUAGAUAUGCGGAGGAACACCGAUGGCGAAGGCAAUCCCCUGGGCCUGUACUGACGCUCAUGCACGAAAGCGUGGGGAGCAAACAGGAUUAG
RNAcentral lists this ribosomal RNA (277 nucleotides) under uncultured Burkholderiales bacterium. RNAcentral describes it as "partial 16S ribosomal RNA". It matches the Rfam family "Bacterial small subunit ribosomal RNA", at positions 505 to 781 of the family's 1533-position model. Lineage: Bacteria; Pseudomonadati; Pseudomonadota; Betaproteobacteria; Burkholderiales. The record is from RNAcentral.